Pelobates cultripes (western spadefoot toad) is the source of this 238-nucleotide non-coding RNA. Lineage: Eukaryota; Metazoa; Chordata; Amphibia; Anura; Pelobatidae. The record is from the annotation of a GenBank genome assembly.
AUGAUGUGUGUGUGCGCGCUGGAUGACAUGUGUGUGAGUGCUGGAUGAUGUGUGUGUGCGCGCGUGCUGGAUGAUGUGUGUGUGCGCGUGUGCUGGAUGAUGUGUGUGUGACUGCGUGUGCUGGAUGAUGUGUGUGACUGCGUGUGCUGGAUGAUGUGUGUGACUGCGUGUGCUGGAUGAUGUGUGUGUGAGUGCUGGUUGAUGUGUGUGUGAGUGCUGGAUGAUGUGUGUGUGUGUG